AUACGUAGGGUGCAAGCGUUAAUCGGAAUUACUGGGCGUAAAGCGUGCGCAGGCGGUUUUGUAAGACAGUGGUGAAAUCCCCGGGCUCAACCUGGGAACUGCCAUUGUGACUGCAAGGCUGGAGUGCGGCAGAGGGGGAUGGAAUUCCGCGUGUAGCAGUGAAAUGCGUAGAUAUGCGGAGGAACACCGAUGGCGAAGGCAAUCCCCGGGGCCUGCACUGACGCUCAUGCACGAAAGCGUGGGGAGCAAACAGGAUUAGAUACCCUGGUAGUCCACGCCCUAAACGAUGUCAACUGGUUGUUGGGGAUUUAUUUUCUCAGUAACGAAGCUAACGCGUGAAGUUGACCGCCUGGGGAGUACGGCCGCAAGGUUAAAACUCAAAUGAAUUGGCGGGG
This 395-nucleotide ribosomal RNA is filed under the name uncultured bacterium. RNAcentral describes it as "partial 16S ribosomal RNA". It matches the Rfam family "Bacterial small subunit ribosomal RNA", at positions 523 to 918 of the family's 1533-position model. The record is from RNAcentral.